Molecule: ribosomal RNA, 497 nt
Filed under: uncultured bacterium
Lineage: Bacteria
Description: partial 16S ribosomal RNA
Rfam family: Bacterial small subunit ribosomal RNA
Source: RNAcentral
GAUGAACGCUGGCGGCGUGCCUAAUACAUGCAAGUCGAGCGAACAGACGAGGAGCUUGCUCCUCUGACGUUAGCGGCGGACGGGUGAGUAACACGUGGAUAACCUACCUAUAAGACUGGGAUAACUUCGGGAAACCGGAGCUAAUGCCGGAUAAUAUAUUGAACCGCAUGGUUCUAUAGUGAAAGACGGUUUUGCUGUCACUUAUAGAUGGAUCCGCGCCGCAUUAGCUAGUUGGUAAGGUAACGGCUUACCAAGGCAACGAUGCGUAGCCGACCUGAGAGGGUGAUCGGCCACACUGGAACUGAGACACGGUCCAGACUCCUACGGGAGGCAGCAGUAGGGAAUCUUCCGCAAUGGGCGAAAGCCUGACGGAGCAACGCCGCGUGAGUGAUGAAGGUCUUCGGAUCGUAAAACUCUGUUAUUAGGGAAGAACAAAUGUGUAAGUAACUAUGCACGUCUUGACGGUACCUAAUCAGAAAGCCACGGCUAACUACGUG